Patella vulgata (common limpet) is the source of this 996-nucleotide long non-coding RNA. RefSeq lists it as uncharacterized. The transcript has 5 exons. Lineage: Eukaryota; Metazoa; Mollusca; Gastropoda; Patellidae. The record is from RefSeq and is a predicted model, not a curated record.
UUUAAAACAAAAUUAAUAGUGUAUGUAUCAUUCAGUAUUACGCUGUAAACAAUCAAACCCCUUCUAGUUUAAUAUUAGUCUUCAGAGCACGUCCAUGAGGUGAACGUUCUGAACACAUACAGCCCACCUAACCCAUAAUAUAAACACACGAAGGUGGAUAGUACACGUUUGGUCUAUAUAUAUUAAAUGGUGUUCUUCAGUGUGACCUAGGCCAUAGACAGACUAGACUCAUUACGGUACCCAUACCUAAAACACACGAUGUUAUGGGUGUACUAAGGUAUUUGUGGCGCAGUUCUGCACAGUAAAUGGCGGAUAUUUACAGACUAAAUUAUACAUCUGCAAUAUUAAGUAUACUGGCUAUUAUAUCCCUUGGGUGGCAUACGAUAGCUCAAGACCCAGUAUUGAUACAACGUCCGAGGCGUUACGAUCUACUACAAACACUGUGUGAUGAAGAAAAAUGCGUAAAGAUUAGCACUUCAACAUUACUUAAUUAUUACGAUGGACUGUUUCAUACACAGGAAGAGAUCGGCGAUAAAUUAAAAGAAUGGGCCACGUUACAUCGUGAAAAGUAUGGCCAAACCAGACCAGCAUCAUUCCUGUAUCAAGUUUGCAAAGACCCUUACUAUGCAUCGAAUAGCUUUUGCACAAACUUUAAAACGCAGAAUCAAGAUUUUGAUCUAUGUUGUCCCACGAGCUUUUAUCACACACCAAAUGUUAACAUGGUUAAUAUUCGUCGGCAGACAAAGGUCCUUGUUACGUUACAAAAUCCAGAAAGAAAACAAUUUGUUCCUUAUGCUCAGUGUUUAGCUAGUGGGGCAUGUUUUGAAAGUCUGGGAUCAUGUCAGACAGAUACUAUUGAAAUUCCGUUGCUGGUUGUCGAUCCGGAACAUAUCCCCCCUUGUAAAUUUGACACAUUUUCCGUCCCAGCUUAUUGUUCGUGUAAAUCAAAUUAAUUAAACCAAAUGUGUUUUAAAAAAUAAAAAGUAAUCUGUCAUU